RNAcentral lists this long non-coding RNA (656 nucleotides) under Gossypium raimondii (Peruvian cotton). RNAcentral's name for it is "long non-coding RNA (GRAI_LNC002872)". Lineage: Eukaryota; Viridiplantae; Streptophyta; Magnoliopsida; Malvales; Malvaceae. The record is from RNAcentral.
UCACAGGUUGGUGGAUCGAGUCGCAGCUUGGGUCGUGUCAACACGGGUCGGGUCGGGUCAACCCGACUGAUUUAAAAUUUAUUUUUUUUCUUUUUUUCUUUCCUUUUUCUUUUUUCCCUUCUUUCUUUCUUUCUUUUGUCUUUCUUUCUUUCUUCCCCAUACAGCAGCACCCCCCCUUGUGUCGCCGGUUAAGUCUCUCCGCCUGGUGCGACGGCCGGCGAUGGCGCGCAAGGAGGUCUCUUCUUUUCCUCCCUUUUUCCCCUUUUCUUUUUCUUCUUUGCUCUUUCCUUUUUUUCGCUUUUGCUUGCUGCUUUUUCUCUUUGUUUUUGUUUUUUUUUGCGUUUAGGACUCGACGGUGGGAUGACAAUGGUGGUGGCGCGACGGUCGUGGUGGCGGUGGAGGCAAUCGGUCGGAUUUGAGAGCCUCUUUUUUUUGAAUUCCUUUUCUUCUCUUUUUUCUUUACUUUUUUUUCUUGGCUGCCGAAUCCUUUUCUCCUCUUCAAUUUUUCUUUUUAAUGCCUCAAUUUUUGUCCUCUUCCUUCUUGUUUUCAGGUGGCAAUAGAGGUGGAGAGCAUGGCUGAUUGGCGGUGUCAGGUGUGGACUGCAGUGCACACCCGAAUGCUGGUUGGGGACAGUCUUGUCAUGCCUAGAAGGACC